Molecule: ribosomal RNA, 491 nt
Filed under: Amphicteis obscurior
Lineage: Eukaryota; Metazoa; Annelida; Polychaeta; Terebellida; Ampharetidae
Description: partial large subunit ribosomal RNA
Rfam family: Bacterial large subunit ribosomal RNA
Source: RNAcentral
CGGUAUCCUGACCGUGCAAAGGUAGCGUGAUAAAUUGCCCUUUAAUUGUGGGCCUGUACGAACGGAUAAACGAGAGCAUUGCUGUCUUCUACUAUAAAAAUAAAAAUUGAUAUCCGGGUGAAAAAGCCCAGAUAAGCCCAAAGGACAAAAAGACCCCGUAGAGCUCUGGUAUUAGUACAAAGCUAACUUAGACUACAAACCAAGUAAAAAUAACAUGCUUUUACAACACCUUAACUGGGGCGGUUGAGGAAAAAUUAAUCUUCCUUUAAUAAAUACAAAGGCCACGCCUGCCUUAAAUAAGUGUCCCUUAUAUAAAGAUCAAAGGACAAGCUACCUCGGGGAUAACAGAUUUAUCUUCCUUGAGAGUUCACAUUGACAGGAAGGUUUGACACCUCGAUGUUGGCUUAGGGUACCCAAAGGAUAGCAGCAGUCCUUAAAGGUAGGUUUGUUCAACCUUUAAAACCCUACAUGAUCUGAGUUCAAACCGGAGA